Long non-coding RNA from Mugil cephalus (flathead mullet), 2228 nucleotides. RefSeq lists it as uncharacterized. NCBI's taxonomy places the organism in Eukaryota, Metazoa, Chordata, Actinopteri, Mugiliformes, Mugilidae. The record is from RefSeq and is a predicted model, not a curated record. The transcript has 16 exons.
GAGAAGAGCAGAGGAGAAAAGAGAAGGAGAAGAACUCGAGGAUAAGAGACCUGCAUUGUGAAAAAGAGGAGGAGAAGAGGAAAGAGAAGCCAAGAAGAAGCACAGAGAUGUGACCACCUGCACUGUGAAAAAGAGUGGAAGACAUGACAACGACAAGACAGAGAAAGAACAAGAAGGAGCCAGUGAGGAAGUGUUCUUGAUGAACUCUAUGAGGGGAGAAGAGAAAAGUAAGAAAGACAAACAACAACAGAAGAAGUUUCUUCCCCUUCAACAGUGACUUGCCGUGACCCAGAUUCAAACCGAGAGGUGAGGACAUAACAACGAGACACGAGACAGAACAAGAACAAGAAGGAGCCAGUGAGGAAGUGAUCUUGAUGAACUCUAUGGGGAGACAAAUCGAGACCAAAGAAGUUUUUUCCCCUUCAGCAGUACUUACCAUGACCUGGAUUCAAACAGGGGUUACAGCGGCCACAACACAGAGUACUCACAGCUGUUUGUUCUUUUAAAAAGAGGCAUGAGACAUGACAACGACACAAGACAGAAGAUGAGGGGAAAAGAGAAAAGUAAGAAAGAAGAAGAACAACAGAAGAAGUUUCUUUUCCUUUUUCAACUUGCCGUGACCCAGAUUCAAACCGGGGUCACUGCCGCCACAACACAGAGGACUCACUGUUUGAUGGACCUGCUGAGCUCCACAACCUUCUCAUUAAAAAUGCGGCGUGAGACAUGACAAGGAAUCAAGACAGCAGGAAGGAGCCAGUGAGGAAGUGUUCUUGAUGAACUCUAUGUCUUCUGUUUCAAAGAGGAGAGAAAUGAAUACAGAAGAAGUGUCUUCCACUUCUGAUAUCAACCUCAAUAUUUAGGAGAGGAAGAGACAAAGAACCCAAACCAAAGACGUGAGGAGGAGAGAAGAAAUAAAACAACAAAGAAGAAGAAGCCAAGAACAUGUGACCACUUACCCUGUGAAAAAUAGAUGGAAAAAAGGCCAAAAUGUGAGAAAGAAACCAGACAGAAUCAGUAGGAGUCAGUGAGGAAGUGUUCUGGAUGAACUCUAUGGGAACAGAAAUGAAGACAGAAGAAGUUUCUUCCCCUCCAACAGUGACUUGCUGUGACCCAGAUUCAAACCGAGGUUACUGCCGCCACAACACAGAGUACUCACUGUUUGAUGGACCUGCUGAGCUCCAAAACCUUCUCAUUAAAAAUGGAAAAAGGUGAGGCCAGAACAACGAAUCAAGACAGAAAAAGAACAAGAAGGAGCCAGUGAGGAAGUGUUCUUGAUGAACUCUGUGGGGACAGAAAUCAAGACAGAAGAAGUUUCUUCCCCUUCGACAGCACUUGCUGUGACCUGGAUUUGAACCUGGGUGGCUGCAGACACAACACAGAGUAGUCACGGCUGUUUGAUGGACCUACAGAGCUGGUGUCACUGGUUAACGUCUGGAUAUCAACUUCACAGCAGAGCGAGGAAGAGAGAACACAAGACCAAGAGAGUUAGAAACAAUGACGUGAAGAGGAGAGAAGAAGAAGAAGCAUUGGACUGUGAAAAAUAAGAGAGGCUGUGAUAAUGAAAGAAACAAGACAGAGAAGUAACAGGAAGGAGCCAGUGAGGAAGUAUUCUGGAUGAACUCUGAGGAAAUUUCAAAGAGAAGAAGAAAUCAUCCAAAAAGAAAGACAGAUGAAGACUCUUCCCAGCAGUACUUUAUUUGAACCAGGGUUACUGUGACCACAGCGCAGAGUACUGACCUCUAUAUGAUCACGACUGAUUGAUACCUUGGCUGUGAAAUCAAGAAGAGACAAUUAUAACGGAGAAACAACAGUAUGAUGACAGAAGAAGAAAGAGCCAAAGAGAUGACGUGACCACCUGCACUGUGAAGUAAACACACAAUUUGUUUUACACUCUGAUCAAUAUUUGUUUUUAUGUGAUCAGCGAAUUCAUUCCUCUUCUCCUGUUUUGUCCUGUUGCAACUGAAGAGAAGCAAAGAUGUGUCCAGGAAACAAGAGAGACAUAAGAAAGAAUAAGAACUUAAUAAAAUAACCUAAAGACAUAACAAAAGAAAAAGUCUGGUCAUAGUUACUGACUGAAUUAAUUUUAUGUUUACUUUACUUUAUGUAAACUUCAGAUUUUCAUGAUAUAAUUCUUGGAAGAUAAGGUUUAAUGAUUUCUGCAGAUUAUAAUAUGAGUAUAUUUUUGAUAACUCGAUCACGGUUUAAUUGAUUAGGUCAUUUUUGCAUAA